RNAcentral lists this ribosomal RNA (484 nucleotides) under uncultured bacterium. Its description in RNAcentral is "partial 16S ribosomal RNA". It matches the Rfam family "Bacterial small subunit ribosomal RNA", at positions 28 to 507 of the family's 1533-position model. The record is from RNAcentral.
AUUGAACGCUGGCGGCAUGCUUUACACAUGCAAGUCGAACGGCAGCGCGGGCUUCGGCCUGGCGGCGAGUGGCGAACGGGUGAGUAAUGCAUCGGAACGUGCCCAGUAGUGGGGGAUAGCCCGGCGAAAGCCGGAUUAAUACCGCAUACGACCUGCGGGUGAAAGCGGGGGACCGAAAGGCCUCGCGCUAUUGGAGCGGCCGAUGCCGGAUUAGCUAGUUGGUGGGGUAAAGGCUUACCAAGGCGACGAUCCGUAGCUGGUCUGACAGCCCGACCAGCCACACUAGGACUGAGACCCGGCCCAGACGCCUACGGGAUGCACCAGUCGGGAAUUUUGGACAAUGGGGGCAACCCUGAUCCAGCCAUGCCGCGCGCGGGAAGAAGGCCUUCGGGUUGUAAACCGCUUUUGUUCGGGAAGAAAUCCUCUGGGCUAAUACCCCGGGGGGAUGACGGUACCGGAAGAAUAAGCACCGGCUAACUACGUG